This 95-nucleotide ribosomal RNA is filed under the name uncultured Acaulospora. RNAcentral describes it as "partial 25S ribosomal RNA". Lineage: Eukaryota; Fungi; Glomeromycota; Glomeromycetes; Diversisporales; Acaulosporaceae. The record is from RNAcentral.
GAAAAGAACUUUGAAAAGAGAGUUAAAUAGUACGUGAAAUUGUUGAAAGGGAAACGAUUAAAGUCAGUCAUGUUGGUNGGGAAUCAANUUGAUGG